This 73-nucleotide transfer RNA is filed under the name Priassus spiniger. Its description in RNAcentral is "tRNA-Asn". The record is from RNAcentral. Lineage: Eukaryota; Metazoa; Arthropoda; Insecta; Hemiptera; Pentatomidae.
UUAAUUGAAGCCAAAAUUAAAAGAGGCAUUUCAUUGUUAAUGAAAAGAUUGAUUAUUAUUUAAUCCAAUUAAA